Molecule: unclassified non-coding RNA, 395 nt
Filed under: uncultured Inocybe
Lineage: Eukaryota; Fungi; Basidiomycota; Agaricomycetes; Agaricales; Cortinariaceae
Description: sequence contains ITS2
Rfam family: 5.8S ribosomal RNA (bases 1-154)
Source: RNAcentral
AACUUUCGACAACGGAUCGCUUGGCUCUCGCAUCGAUGAAGAACGCAGCGAAAUGCGAUAAGUAAUGUGAAUUGCAGAAUUCAGUGAAUCAUCGAAUCUUUGAACGCAUCUUGCGCUCCUUGGUAUUCUGAGGAGCAUGCCUGUUUGAGUGUCAUUAAAUUCUCAACUACACUGACUUGGUGUGGCUUGGAUUUGGGGGUUGUGGGCUUUUUGUAGUCUGCUCCCCUGAAAUUAAUUAGCGGUACCUUGGUGGAACUGUCUACAGGUGUGAUAAUUAUCUACAUCCUAGACAUCUGCUGGAAUGCUGCUUUCUAGACCUUACUUGUAUUGACAAUCUUGACCUCAAAUCAGGUAGGACUACCCGCUGAACUUAAGCAUAUCAAUAAGCGGAGGCU